RNAcentral lists this ribosomal RNA (238 nucleotides) under uncultured bacterium. RNAcentral describes it as "partial 16S ribosomal RNA". It matches the Rfam family "Bacterial small subunit ribosomal RNA", at positions 15 to 249 of the family's 1533-position model. The record is from RNAcentral.
GAUCAUGGCUCAGGAUGAACGCUAGCGACAGGCUUAACACAUGCAAGUCGAGGGGCAUCAUGAGGUAGCAAUACCUUGAUGGCGACCGGCGCACGGGUGAGUAACGCGUAUGCAACCUGCCCGAUACCGGGGUAUAGCCCAUGGAAACGUGGAUUAACACCCCAUAGUACUUUUAUCCUGCAUGGGAUAGGAGUUAAAUGUUCAAGGUAUCGGAUGGGCAUGCGUCCUAUUAGUUAGG